CCACUCUUGCUGUGCAAACUCAAUUUCCUGUAUCCUACUCUACGUAUUUUCGAAGCAGUCAUCGCCAUAUGGUAUACUCUCUCUAGAUUAUUUUCUUGGGCAUUUGCCUAUUGUCACCUUUUCUUCUCACUAGCAUGUGGCUCCAUGAGGGCAAAUACUUAAUCUGUUAUGUUCACUGGGGCAUCUCCAGAACUUGCCUGAAACCCAGUAGGUGUUCAAUAAGUUCUGGAGGGAUGAAUGAAUGACUCCUCUCACUGUAAGGAAGUUUGGGAUAUGUAGUCUAUCUGGGCACAUUUCUAUCUGUUCUCUUUGCAGGGGAGAAAGGGAUGAGGAUGUUGGAUAAGCAGCUCAGCAUGUUCCCCAACAUGUAAGGGAAUCAGGUCGAGUUCUACACUCUCCUUCUUGGUACACAUCCUCAGAAUGCAGGAAGUGCCUGUGCUUGCUGUGAGUCUUUGUGGACAGAGGCAGGAUCAUGCUGGCUAGAAUCUAGUGGACAAGGGCAGCACAUUCCCCCUGUUCCCAGGUGGGUCCAGAGAUGUCGCCUGGGAGCCAGGGCCUGGAGUUCUGUUACUGUGGCUGAGCUUGCACCCAAGCUACAAGAUGACAUCCUACUCUUCCCUCACCUUUCUACAAGUAGAGGAGUCUCUUCUCAUGGCCACCAUUGUCCCAGGAUGUGAGGUCUGGAACAGCUGCAGCCAUUUUGCCACCAUGGGAAACCUGGGACAUCUGAACUGACUCCAUGAAGCCUGAAGAGAAAGCUAAUAAGAAGGCAGAGAGAAGAGGAAGAGUCUUGGUCUUUGGAAAUAUCUUUUGGAGCUGCUGGAUCAAGUAUCACUUGAAGUAUUAUUGAAUUUAUUCCCCGAAGGAGAGCGGCUAAGAGUAUUGCCCAGCCACAGGCUCUCAACCACCAACCCGAGCCUCAGAUUCUCCUCACACAGCCACAGCUGUACCACAUGGCCCACGUGAAAUCUGAAUCCACAUGAAAACAAUGGCAACAAGAAAAAGGUGUAAACUUUCCAGAACAGGCCCAGAAUUUGAAAAUGUGAUAAAGAGGUUAUUGUGCGCCCGAACUUUUCACACAAGAAUUGGAGGAGAUUUAACACAUGGAAUAAUAAACAGAGGAAGGCGGGCUAAUGCAGAGCAGAUGGGCCUGCAGGGCAGUGCUCAGCAUUUCAACAUCUUUCCCCUGGACCUUUGGACCCAAGGAAAAAAAUGAAGGCUCUGAAAGUGUAAAUCGCUUACUGAAGGGCACACGGCCAGGAUGACAGCGGAGCCAGGAUCACCCCAGGUGUCUCUUCUCACGUGGAAUCACAGCAUUGGAUGGACUGAAAAGAGGAAGAGGCUGCAAUGGAGCAGCACACCUGGUGCGUGGGGAUGCCUGGAAAACAAAAUUAGGAGAGCCCUGGGUCAGCAUUGCUCUGGCACUGGCUGGGCCGGGGGCCAUCCUGAUUCUAGAAUUAUCUUGGUUCCUGGGAUAGAAAUGUCCCCAGAGUGGAGAAGUUCAGUUCAAUCCAACAUCCUUAUAUUGCAAUGAGGAUAAAGACCACAGACCCUAUGGCCUGUAUGACCCAGCUGCCCAUUUCUAGGAACCCAUUCCUACAGAAAUGACAACAUGCGUGUGCAAACAGCAACAAUGACAAACAUACCCUGGGAUGCUUUCCCUCUGUGGUUUGUUAUAGUAAGAUAGCGGCUACAGCUUAUAUAUCAUCAACAGAGGACUGGCUAAAUGAUGGCACUUCAUUCUGCAGAAUCUUUUUUUGUAGUCAAAAAGAACAAGUUAGAUCUAUAUGUGUGAACAUGGAAAGGUGUACAUGACUUAAGUAGAAAAAUUAAGUUGCAGAACGA
Long non-coding RNA from Homo sapiens (human), 1845 nucleotides. Ensembl annotates it as APRG1 tumor suppressor candidate. Its record names the gene APRG1. NCBI's taxonomy places the organism in Eukaryota, Metazoa, Chordata, Mammalia, Primates, Hominidae. The record is from Ensembl.